Molecule: non-coding RNA, 1637 nt
Organism: Podarcis lilfordi (Lilford's wall lizard)
Lineage: Eukaryota; Metazoa; Chordata; Lepidosauria; Squamata; Lacertidae
Source: the annotation of a GenBank genome assembly
GUUUAAAUGCCACUGUCUCGCCCAAAGAUGGAAGGAAGAAGCAACCCCAACCAGAGAAGAAUGCCAGGCUAAGGCUAAGGCAAGUUGAUGGACCAAGCCAAAAUGGCUAAUUUAGGAAGCUGAAAAAUUUGGAGAAGUAUUGAUAAGCAGUUAAAAAUAGAAUCAAUAGGAGCCAUGGAAGGGAUGGGGGAGUCAGGAGAUUCAGAGUGAUCUCAAUAAUUACAUUUGGAAUUGUUUUUGUUGUAUGUUUAUAUUUUGGAAAAUCAAAUAAAAAUGUAUUUCAUAUUUUUAAAAAAAUGCCACUGUCUCCAUUCAGGAGCAUGGGAAGGUGCCUUUAUAGCAGGUCAUGCUCUUUGGGUGCCUCCACGAUGUCACCUUUUUGCAGGAGGGAUUCAGACAUAAUGUAGGUGUGUGCUGUCAAAGUAGAGUAAAGCACUCUGUUGCUCUAGCGCAACAAAUCCACUCUUUAAAUAAAAGAAAAUGGGCUUUCUGUGCUUAGGAAGUUGGCAGGGAAAUGCCCUGAGAAAGGUGGUAUAAAUGAAUGUGAGAUGGGAAUACAGCAGGAUGGAUGUAAAUAACUCAGAAUGAAUACUCAAUAAAGAUCAAACAUUGUCAAACCACUGUAUGAGCUUUGUGCAAGUGGAUCAAGGUGAAUGCUGAAUGAACAGGCUGCCUGGAGGAGCCCUUUGUUCAUAUAGCUCUGUACUGUCUACUCUGACCAGCAGUGGCUUGCUAGAGUCUCGGGGGGGGGGGGUAGUUCUCAUUACCUCCUUCCAGAUCUUUUUAACCUCCGACAUUCUGCAUACAAGACAUGGGCUCCAACACUGAUUUAUGGUCCCACCUGAACAGGGUAUUGAUAGAAAGAGCUAAGCAAGACCUUACCCUUUGGGAAACUGCAAUACUGGAGUGGAAAAUGCAAUGCAAAGCAGGUUCAUAUCCACAUGGCUGCCAUCUUGCUUGGAUUCUAAGGCGCUAUGUACCAACACUAAUAUCUAGGGUCACAUCUGCAUCAUUACCUUUCAAGCACUAUUAUACCACUUUAACAGCCAUGGCUUCCCCUAAAGAAUCUAGGGAACGGUAGUUUGCUAAAGGGUGCUCAGAGGUGUUAUGGGACCCCUAUUCCUCUCACAAAACUACAAUCCCCAGAGGGGUUUAACAAUAAAUUUGUUAGCAAUAAACUCUGUUCAAGUGAUAUAAUGGUGCCUGAAAUGUGUGGUGUGAAUGUGGUCUAGGUUUCCUGGCUCUCAGAGGACUCCUGUACCUUUAAGUGUUGCAACAAAGGGAAAAUUUGAUCCAGUGCAGCUUCUCUCACCACGAUGGUAGAAGCCACAUCUGUUAAGAUGUUCUUUUCUGAAAAUGUAGACAAGCCUUCUGUGGUAGCAGAAAUGACCAUAGAGUGAGCAUGUGUACCAUCAUUGUACCCAAAAGGUUGUUUUUUUCCUUCCCACAGAAACCUGUGUAUUGGGACUGAAUUGCAAUAGGAGAGCAGCUGAUUUUUGACUGUGUGUGAACCUGUCCUUAAGAGUCUGGACCUGGCAACAUACCCCGCUGCUGCCGCCACCCCACCCCACCCCCCAGAAGAUUUAAGUUGCCAGCAAGUCAGAGCAAGUAAAUCAUUGCAUCUUGAAUAAAUUACC